Molecule: ribosomal RNA, 177 nt
Filed under: uncultured bacterium
Lineage: Bacteria
Description: partial 16S ribosomal RNA
Rfam family: Bacterial small subunit ribosomal RNA
Source: RNAcentral
ACUCCUACGGGAGGCAGCAGGGGGGAAUCUUGCGCAAUGGGCGAAAGCCUGACGCAGCGACGCCGCGUGAGGGAUGAAGGCCUUCGGGUUGUAAACCUCUUUCAGCAGGGACGAAGCGGAAGUGACGGUACCUGCAGAAGAAGCCCCGGCCAACUACGUGCCAGCAGCCGCGGUAAU